RNAcentral lists this ribosomal RNA (495 nucleotides) under uncultured bacterium. RNAcentral's name for it is "partial 16S ribosomal RNA". It matches the Rfam family "Bacterial small subunit ribosomal RNA", at positions 29 to 506 of the family's 1533-position model. The record is from RNAcentral.
AUGAACGCUGGCGGCGUGCCUAAUCCAUGCCAGUCGCGCGAACAGACGAGGAGCUUGCUCCUCUGACGUUAGCGGCGGACGGGUGAGUAACACGUGGAUAACCUACCUAUAAGACUGGGAUAACUUCGGGAAACCGGAGCUAAUACCGGAUAAUAUAUUGAACCGCAUGGUUCAAUAGUGAAAGACGGUUUUGCUGUCACUUAUAGAUGGAUCCGCGCCGCAUUAGCUAGUUGGUAAGGUAACGGCUUACCAAGGCAACGAUGCGUAGCCGACCUGAGAGGGUGAUCGGCCACACUGGAACUGAGACACGGUCCAGACUCCUACGGGAGGCAGCAGUAGGGAAUCUUCCGCAAUGGGCGAAAGCCUGACGGAGCAACGCCGCGUGAGUGAUGAAGGUCUUCGGAUCGUAAAACUCUGUUAUUAGGGAAGAACAAAUGUGUAAGUAACUAUGCACGUCUUGACGGUACCUAAUCAGAAAGCCACGGCUAACUACGU